CAGGUAAUUUGCCUGUGUCUGCUUGUUUAGGUCUUGUUUCAUGUUAACAAUGGUGCUGGUAGGAUAACAGCCACAUAUGAGCCCAAACCUACCAAUACUCUCUGUGAUGGAAAAUGGCAUACACUUCAGGCUAACAAAAGCAAACACCGUGUUGUUCUGAUUGUCGAUGGGAAAACAGUUGUUGCUGAAAGUCCACACACCCAGUCCACCUCGGCGGACACCAACAAUCCCAUUUAUGUUGGUGGCUAUCCUGCUGAAGUAAAGCAGAACUGCCUGAGCAUCCAGACCUCGUUUCGGGGGUGUUUGAGAAAGCUCACGUUCAUUAAGGGCCCACAUGUGCAAUCCUAUGACUUCAGCAGAGCUUUUGACCUACAGGGAGUUUUCCCCCAUUCCUGUCCUGGGACUGAACCCUGACUCCAGACAAAAUCCUCAGUUGGAAUCCUUGCUUAUAUUUUGAGAAGAAUUAUUUUUACAAAUUAAAAUCUCUUCAAUUCAGAUUUCAUUCCAACUCAGGUUAAGUGUUUCCGCAGAGAAAUAUGUUUAUAUUAAAGUAAAGCCACAUGUACAACGAAUACCUCUAUUAAAUAGUCUAAAAUGUAAAUUGAAUUAAUUGGCUGUCUUUUUUUAAAGCUUUUUAAAAAUAAAUAUUUGUAAACAUUGAGUGUUUUGUUGAUUACUUGACAGUAUUUCAUAUUUUGCAUUUUGAGCUUUUAAAAAUAAAAUAUUACAGACUAUAAUAGAUUAA
This is a long non-coding RNA of Galeopterus variegatus (Sunda flying lemur), 745 nucleotides long. RefSeq lists it as uncharacterized. The transcript has 2 exons. Lineage: Eukaryota; Metazoa; Chordata; Mammalia; Dermoptera; Cynocephalidae. The record is from RefSeq and is a predicted model, not a curated record.